RNAcentral lists this ribosomal RNA (469 nucleotides) under uncultured bacterium. RNAcentral describes it as "bacterial SSU rRNA". It matches the Rfam family "Bacterial small subunit ribosomal RNA", at positions 28 to 507 of the family's 1533-position model. The record is from RNAcentral.
GACGAACGCUGGCGGCGUGCCUAACACAUGCAAGUCGAACGGGGUCGUUCUUGGUGGCAACACCUUGGACGGCCUAGUGGCGAACGGGUGAGUAACACGUGAGGAACCUGCCCCGAAGACCGGGAUAACAGAAGGAAACUUCUGCUAAUACCGGAUACCCCCACCGAAUCGCAUGGUUUGGUGAGGAAAUGGAUUCCGCUUCGGGAGGGCCUCGCGGCCUAUCAGCUAGUUGGUGGGGUAACGGCCUACCAAGGCAUCGACGGGUAGCUGGUCUGAGAGGACGAUCAGCCACACUGGGACUGAGACACGGCCCAGACUCCUACGGGAGGCAGCAGUGGGGAAUCUUGCGCAAUGGGCGAAAGCCUGACGCAGCAACGCCGCGUGCGGGAUGAAGGCCCUCGGGUUGUAAACCGCUUUCAGCAGGGACGAAGAUGACGGUACCUGCAGAAGAAGCCCCGGCAACUACGUG